UUCCGGUUGAUCCUGCCGGACCCGACUGCUACCAGAGUGAGAUUAAGCCAUGCGAGUUAACGUAGCAAUACGUGGCGCACGGCUCAGUAACACGUAGUCAACAUGCCCAGAGGACGUGGAUAACCUCGGGAAACUGAGUCUAAACCGCGAUAAGUGAGGAUUUCUGGAAUGGUUCCUGACUAAAAUCUAUAUGGCCUCUGGAUUGGACUGCGGCCGAUCAGGCUGUUGGUGAGGUAAUGGCUCACCAAACCUGUAACCGGUACGGGCUCUGAGAGGAGGAGCCCGGAGAUGGGCACUGAGACAAGGGCCCAGGCCCUAUGGGGCGCAGCAGGCGCGAAACCUCUGCAAUAGGCGAAAGCCUGACAGGGUUACUCUGAGUGACUUUCGCUAAGAAAGUCUUUUGGCACCUCUAAAAAGGGUGCAGAAUAAGGGGUGGGCAAGUCUGGUGUCAGCCGCCGCGGUAAUACCAGCACCCCGAGUGGUCGGGACGAUUAUUGGGCCUAAAGCAUCCGUAGCCGGUUCUGCAAGUCCCCCGUUAAAUCCAGCUGCUCAACAGAUGGGCCGCGGAGGAUACUACAGAGCUAGGAGGCAGGAGAGGCAAGCGGUACCCAGUGGGUAGGGGUAAAAUCCGUUGAUCCAUUGAAGACCACCAGUGGCGAAGGCGGCUUGCCAGAAUGCGCUCGACGGUGAGGGAUGAAAGCUGGGGGAGCAAACCGGAUUAGAUACCCGGGUAGUCCCAG
RNAcentral lists this ribosomal RNA (740 nucleotides) under uncultured archaeon. RNAcentral describes it as "bacterial SSU rRNA". It matches the Rfam family "Archaeal small subunit ribosomal RNA", at positions 1 to 750 of the family's 1478-position model. The record is from RNAcentral.